CUAAGAAUAUUCCGCAAUGGACGAAAGUCUGACGGAGCGACGCCGCGUGGAUGAAGAAGGCCGAAAGGUUGUAAAAUCCUUUUGCUGAGGAAGAAUAAGUGUGGGAGGGAAUGCCCGCAUGAUGACAUGAAUCGGCGAAUAAGCCCCGGCCAACUACGUGCCAGCAGCCGCGGUAACACGUAGGGGCGAGCGUUGUUCGGAAUUACUGGGCGUAAAGGGCAUGUAGGCGGUUAUGUAAGCCUGGCGUGGAAGUCCACAGCUUAACUGUGGGAUUGCGUUGGGAACUAGAUGACUAGAGUUACGGAGAGGGAGCUAGAAUUCCUGGUGUAGGGGUGGAAUCUGUAGAGAUCAGGAAGAAUACCGAUGGCGAAGGCAAGCUCCUGGCCGAUGACUGACGCUG
Molecule: ribosomal RNA, 400 nt
Filed under: uncultured bacterium
Lineage: Bacteria
Description: bacterial SSU rRNA
Rfam family: Bacterial small subunit ribosomal RNA
Source: RNAcentral